CCAAACUUGGUCAUUUAGAGGAAGUAAAAGUCGUAACAAGGUUUCCGUAGGUGAACCUGCGGAAGGAUCAUUGCCUGAGGGCGCGUGGCCGAGCGAGCGCGAGCUCGCGGAGCCCGCGCAUUACUCACGAACCCAUGUGAACCAAAGUGACGUGACGGUGGCGCCGCGCCGCGCGUUCUCGCGCGCGCGCGACCCUCCAUCUCUCCUUUUUUACUACUACUAACCACGUUAACCUUGCUUCUCUGACUGAGAUUCAAGCGACCUUAAAACCGUCGCGACCAAACCAAACAUAUCACAACUUUUAACAACGGAUAUCUUGGCUCGCGCAUCGAUGAAGAACGCAGC
Molecule: unclassified non-coding RNA, 345 nt
Filed under: uncultured fungus
Lineage: Eukaryota; Fungi
Description: partial contains small subunit ribosomal RNA, internal transcribed spacer 1, and 5.8S ribosomal RNA
Rfam family: Eukaryotic small subunit ribosomal RNA (bases 1-73)
Source: RNAcentral